UGUAACAGUUCACUCAUGCCAGUGGGAAACAAUUAAACAGCGAGAGAUCACGCUCGUGCCGUCGAAGGCGUUGUUUAGCAGAGAACCAAGCCAAGUCCAUAGCUGCUGCGCAAAAGAGAAAGUGAGGAACAGAUACACUGUGUUUUCCGAUUGGCAAAGACAAAGAGGACAGGCCAAGACAGUAAUGCAUUCUCGUUUCGACAAGUUUUCGUCAGUUGGCAUCCGAUUGUGUAUGCAGCGCCAA
Molecule: long non-coding RNA, 244 nt
Filed under: Trifolium pratense (red clover)
Lineage: Eukaryota; Viridiplantae; Streptophyta; Magnoliopsida; Fabales; Fabaceae
Description: long non-coding RNA (TPRA_LNC006888)
Source: RNAcentral